ACGGAAAUGGGGAGAAAGGAGGAGGAGCAGGAGCAGGAUGCGGAGAUGGAAGAACUAGUAGUGGACUACUACGCAGAUGAGCCGAUGGAGGAAGACGGUAAAAAUAGUAACAACAAGUGGAAAUACCGGGAGGACCCUGGCUUCAUGGAGGCAUACCUGAAGGUGAUGCAGCUCGUGGAAGAAGAUGAUCGGAUCGAGGACGAGGAGAGCGCUGCGGCGGCGGAGGCGGCGAAGCCAGGGCGGAAGAGGGCUCACGCCCGGAAGGCGGGGGAGCUGGACGACGUGGAGACGACGAAGAGGUACAAGUGCAACUACUGGGCGGACGACGACCCUGCUUACCGCGGCAAGAGGCGGCUGGAGAACACCGGCCAGCUCUUGGCCCGCACCGCCGCCCUCAUGAACCGCGCCGAACGGGAGACCGCCGCCAUGAUGGCCCGAUGGGAACUAGAGGACAGCCAGCUUAUAAACACCUAGCGAGCUGAAUUCCAAUAUAUCUAUAAGUAUGUUUUUUUAGAUAAUAAAAUAUAAUAUCCUGGCCUUGCUUAAAUAUCUUAUAAGUAUGUAACUGUUCCAAUUGUAAUUAUACUGAAAAUCAUUCGUGUGGGUAAGAAUAAGACAGUUUCUUCCAACUGCAGUAGCUCAUUCAGUAUACAGUAA
RNAcentral lists this long non-coding RNA (657 nucleotides) under Oryza sativa aus subgroup. Its description in RNAcentral is "lncRNA OsN22_06G026830". The record is from RNAcentral. Lineage: Eukaryota; Viridiplantae; Streptophyta; Magnoliopsida; Poales; Poaceae.